Molecule: ribosomal RNA, 1647 nt
Filed under: Triticum aestivum (bread wheat)
Lineage: Eukaryota; Viridiplantae; Streptophyta; Magnoliopsida; Poales; Poaceae
Description: partial small subunit ribosomal RNA
Source: RNAcentral
AUGAGUCACCGCAGGCGACCUCACGCCGCGGGCCCGCCGCCACCCCCGGAAGAGGGAGGAGGAGACCCCUCUCCGCAGUCGCCGGGGAAGGCGCCGCGGAUUCGGCCGUGGCCGGAGCGGCGGGUGCUGGCGCUCGCGCUGGCGUUCCGCGCGGUGAACGCGCUGCUGGUGCGCACCUACUUCAACCCCGACGAGCACUGGCAGUGCCUCGAGGUCGCCCACCGCGUCGCCUUCGGGUACGGCCACCUCACCUGGGAGUGGAAGCGGGGCCUUCGAGGUUACCUCCACCCGCUGAUCUUCGCCGCCCUUUACAAGUUUCUGGCGUUUCUCCACCUCGAUACCCCGUGGUUCAUGGUGAUGGCUCCACGGCUUCUACAGUCAGUAUUUGCAGCGUUUGGAGAUCUAUACUUGUAUAAACUCUCCAAACUUAUUUUCAACGAGCACGUUGCCCAGUGGACAUUAUUUUCGCAGUUGGUGAACUGGUUCAUGUUUUUCUGCAUUACACGGACUCUAUCAAACAGCUUGGAGACAGUUUUGACUGUGGCUGGACUCUAUUAUUGGUUUAUUGCAAUCAAGUCUUCCAAGGGAAUUUCAGUUAUUUCAAAGCAGCAGGCUUCCAGCUACCAAAGUCCUCAUUCAAGAAAAGUGGCACUACUCAUAGCAGCCUUAGCCUGCGCCAUUCGGCCAACAAGUGCCAUAACAUGGUUGUAUGUUGGUCUUUUGGACUUCAUUUAUAUAAAAUCAAAAUGUCGAUUUCUGUUUCUUGAGGUCAUUCCUCUAGGGGCCAUCGUCCUUGCAGCAACAACAUUCCUUGAUUGGUGGAUGUAUGGUUCCCGGGUCAUAGUGCCACUUAAUUUUUUGAAAUUCAACCUAUUUUCUUCAGGAGGAGAUUACUAUGGAACACAUGUCUUCCACUGGUACUUCACCCAAGGUUUUCCAUCUAUGAUUUGGACGUUCUUACCACUUUCAGUUUUUGGAGUCAUAAAGUCUCGAGAAUGGAGGCUUUCAGGUUUAAUUGCCUGGGUAUUAGGGGUUUAUAGCAUACUUGGACACAAAGAGUUCAGGUUUGUUCUUCCAGUGCUACCUUUAGCGUUGAUGUUCUCGGGUUACUUCUUAGCUGCAAUGUCGCAAUUCAAGGGUAAAAAUCUGCAUGGGAAAAGACACUUUUCAAGGUUGCAACUUUCUGUUAUUCUUCUCAUCAUAACCAAUGUUCCAAUGGCCUUAUAUAUGUCCCUGUUCCAUCAAAGAGGAACUGAAGAUGUCAUGUUUUAUCUAUCAAAAGAAGCCCAUAAUGGAAGAGUUAAGGGUGUCCUCUUUCUCAUGCCUUGCCAUUCGACGCCUUAUUACUCUACCUUACAUAGCAGCCUACCUAUGCGCUUUUUGGACUGUACUCCCAGUGAUAAUAAAGGGACCCUGGAUGAAUCAGACCGUUUCCUCAUGAACCCACUUGAUUUUGUGGGUGAGGUUUUUGGAAAUCUAUCUUCCUUCAGUCACAUUGUGUUAUUUGAAUCUGAAGAAAGACAUGUUAUUCAGUUGCUUCUGCACGAUUCCUUUCAAGAGGUUAGGAGGUUUUUCCAUUCCCACUUCAAGAUUGAUAGAGACCUUCAGUCGUCUGUUGUUGUAUAUUCACGGAGGGAUGUGCUAUGA